Molecule: ribosomal RNA, 264 nt
Filed under: uncultured bacterium
Lineage: Bacteria
Description: partial small subunit ribosomal RNA
Rfam family: Bacterial small subunit ribosomal RNA
Source: RNAcentral
AGAGCGAACGCUGGCGGCAUGCCUUACACAUGCAAGUCGAACGGCAGCACGGGGGUAACCCUGGUGGCGAGUGGCGAACGGGUGAGUAAUACAUCGGAACGUGUCCUGUAGUGGGGGAUAGCCCGGCGAAAGCCGGAUUAAUACCGCAUACGAUCUACGGAAGAAAGCGGGGGAUCCUUCGGGACCUCGCGCUAUAGGGGCGGCCGAUGGCAGAUUAGCUAGUUGGUGGGGUAAAGGCCUACCAAGGCGACGACGGGUAGCCGG